RNAcentral lists this ribosomal RNA (381 nucleotides) under uncultured bacterium. RNAcentral's name for it is "bacterial SSU rRNA". It matches the Rfam family "Bacterial small subunit ribosomal RNA", at positions 28 to 402 of the family's 1533-position model. The record is from RNAcentral.
GACGAACGCUGGCGGCGUGCCUAACACAUGCAAGUGGAGCGACGAACCAGGCUUCGGCCUGGGGCAAAGCCGCGAACGGGUGAGUAACACGUGGGUAACCUGCCCUGAUGAUUGGGACAACCCGAGGAAACUCGGGCUAAUACCAAAUGUGCCCUUCGGCCAUAAGGCCGCCGGGGAAAGGAAGCUUCGGCCUCCGCAUCUGGAUGGGCCCGCGGCCCAUUAGCUUGUUGGUGAGGUAACGGCNCACCAAGGCGACGAUGGGUAGCUGGUCUGAGAGGACGAUCAGCCACACUGGGACUGAGACACGGCCCAGACUCCUACGGGAGGCAGCAGUGGGGAAUCUUGCGCAAUGCGCGAAAGCGUGACGCAGCAACGCCGCGU